Molecule: ribosomal RNA, 433 nt
Filed under: uncultured bacterium
Lineage: Bacteria
Description: partial 16S ribosomal RNA
Rfam family: Bacterial small subunit ribosomal RNA
Source: RNAcentral
AACGAACGCUGGCGGCAUGCCUAACACAUGCAAGUCGAACGAGACCUUCGGGUCUAGUGGCGCACGGGUGCGUAACGCGUGGGGACCUGCCCUUAGGUUCGGAAUAACUCCCCGAAAGGGGUGCUAAUACCGGAUAAUGUCUUCGGACCAAAGAUUUAUCGCCUUUGGAUGGGCCCGCGUUGGAUUAGCUAGUUGGUAGGGUAAAAGCCUACCAAGGCGACGAUCCAUAGCUGGUCUGAGAGGAUGAUCAGCCACACUGGGACUGAGACACGGCCCAGACUCCUACGGGAGGCAGCAGUGGGGAAUAUUGGACAAUGGGCGAAAGCCUGAUCCAGCAAUGCCGCGUGAGUGAUGAAGGCCUUAGGGUUGUAAAGCUCUCUUACCCGGGAUGAUAAUGACAGUACCGGGAGAAUAAGCUCCGGCUAACUCCGUG